RNAcentral lists this ribosomal RNA (482 nucleotides) under uncultured bacterium. RNAcentral describes it as "partial 16S ribosomal RNA". It matches the Rfam family "Bacterial small subunit ribosomal RNA", at positions 28 to 507 of the family's 1533-position model. The record is from RNAcentral.
GACGAACGCUAGCGGCAGGCCUAAUACAUGCAAGUCGGACGGGAUUCAGGAGCUUGCGUCGGAUGCUAGUGUCGCACGCGUGCGUAACACGUAUGUAACCUACCUUUAUCAGGGGGAUAGCCUCUCGAAAGACAGGUUAAGCCCGCGUAAAAUCACAGCACAGCAUUGUGUGGUGUUCAAAUGUUUAUGGGAUAAAGAUGGGCAUGCCGAACAUUCGCUAGGUGGCGGGGUAACUGCCCAUCAUGGCGUCGAUCGUUAGGGGAUCGAGGAGGAUUGCCCCCCACACGGGUACUGGCACACGGACCAGACACAUACGGGCGGCAGCAGUAAGGAAGAGAGGUGAAUGGGAGGAUGCCUGAUGCAGCCAUGCCGCGUGCAGGAAGGCGGCCUGACGGGUGGUAACCUGCUGUUAGAAGGGAAUAAUCCCAGAUACGGGUAUCUGGCUGAAUGUACUGUAAGAAUAAGGAUCGGCUAACUACGUG